CCCUUGUUCCACUGGCCUUAGUAGCUCAUGAUACCUCCAUCUGCUAGCAAACCUCCAAUAACUCUGACCCCAUUCUCUGGGCAGGGUCACAAGGAGUCCUGCUUUUAAAUUGGGAGAUAAAAGUGGUAGCAGAAAGGGCCCGGAGAGGUAGAGCUCACAGGCUUGGCAGUGGUCAGGCCUCCAGGGGCUGUGUUUUCCUGGAGGUGCAUUUAUUGUGGGAGAAAAACUUUUACCCUUGAACCUUCUGCACUCAAAACCCCCACGGUCAAUUUUUCCAGCUCCCUGGGCCAGGGUCAGGUGCUCCCAGCUCUCUGGAGGCCCUGAUCUUUUGGCAGUGUGAUGGCAGCAUGACCACAACGACCUUGGUUUUGCUAAGACUAGUGCUGGCUCAUCUACAGGAUUCAGAUGUGUCCUUCACUCAGGGAGCAAGGAAACAGACAUGUUCUGCCCAAGGGCUACUGGCAACAUCCAAAAGGCAACAGUUGUUAACAGUUUCAUGGAUUUCCUUACAGUAGAGGAAGCUUCAAUAUAUAAUUUUUGAGGUUGGUGAUUCUCAACUAGGAGCUAUUUUGCCCCCCAUCCCCCACCCGGCAGUGUCUGGAGACAGUUUUGAUUGUCACAACUGCGAGAAGUGGGUGCUACUGGAAUCACUGGGUAGAGGCCAGCAAUGCUGCUAAACAUCCUACAUUGCACAGGACACCCCCACAGCAAAGAAUUAUCUAGCCCGAAAUGUUAACUGUGCUGAGGCUGAGAAACCCUGAUUUAAAAACUGUGCUCAUAUAAUAAAACCGUGUAUCCUCUUUUGAUUUAAUGUA
RNAcentral lists this long non-coding RNA (815 nucleotides) under Homo sapiens (human). RNAcentral's name for it is "HSALNT0305337". The record is from RNAcentral. Lineage: Eukaryota; Metazoa; Chordata; Mammalia; Primates; Hominidae.